This 710-nucleotide ribosomal RNA is filed under the name Phaeobacter sp. RNAcentral describes it as "bacterial SSU rRNA". It matches the Rfam family "Bacterial small subunit ribosomal RNA", at positions 35 to 794 of the family's 1533-position model. The record is from RNAcentral. Lineage: Bacteria; Pseudomonadati; Pseudomonadota; Alphaproteobacteria; Rhodobacterales; Roseobacteraceae.
GGAGGCGGCAGCUUACACAUGCAGUCGAGCGCACUCUUCGGAGUGAGCGGCGGACGGGUUAGUAACGCGUGGGAACGUGCCCUUCUCUAAGGAAUAGCCACUGGAAACGGUGAGUAAUACCUUAUACGCCCUUCGGGGGAAAGAUUUAUCGGAGAAGGAUCGGCCCGCGUUAGAUUAGAUAGUUGGUGGGGUAAUGGCCUACCAAGUCUACGAUCUAUAGCUGGUUUUAGAGGAUGAUCAGCAACACUGGGACUGAGACACGGCCCAGACUCCUACGGGAGGCAGCAGUGGGGAAUCUUGGACAAUGGGCGCAAGCCUGAUCCAGCCAUGCCGCGUGAGUGAUGAAGGCCUUAGGGUCGUAAAGCUCUUUCGCCAGAGAUGAUAAUGACAGUAUCUGGUAAAGAAACCCCGGCUAACUCCGUGCCAGCAGCCGCGGUAAUACGGAGGGGGUUAGCGUUGUUCGGAAUUACUGGGCGUAAAGCGCACGUAGGCGGAUCAGAAAGUAUAGGGUGAAAUCCCAGGGCUCAACCCUGGAACUGCCUUGUAAACUCCUGGUCUUGAGUUCGAGAGAGGUGAGUGGAAUUCCGAGUGUAGAGGUGAAAUUCGUAGAUAUUCGGAGGAACACCAGUGGCGAAGGCGGCUCACUGGCUCGAUACUGACGCUGAGGUGCGAAAGUGUGGGGAGCAAACAGGAUUAGAUACCCUGGUAGU